Molecule: long non-coding RNA, 1943 nt
Organism: Lycium barbarum (goji berry)
Lineage: Eukaryota; Viridiplantae; Streptophyta; Magnoliopsida; Solanales; Solanaceae
Exons: 3
Source: RefSeq, a predicted model, not a curated record
AAAAAGCCACUUGGCAAGAUAAAAAGACCGGAUAAAUUCAAGCCGCAAAAAUCAGUUUUGAAGAGCACAGUUUUUUUGAAGACCCAGUUUUGUUUCUCAAUUAACAUAACCCUAAUCAGAAUCCAAGCCCUGUGCUCUCUCACUUUAAUCCAGGUGAUACCAAGAAUAUUUUCAGAAGCUACUAGAGUAUAUCUCUAUUAUAUUUUUGCGGACGGAGCCCUUGUGUGAUCUUGAUAGGAUGUUCUCGAAGAAAUGCAGAGAGGAGGACGAACAGGGGCAUAGAUAUUUUUUUUGCAUUCCUCCCUUCUGGUAAGUUUUAUUCAUAUUUGGUUUUCCUCUUUUUAUUCAUAUUUGGUUUUCCUCUUUCAUCAUGUUUUACUGGUGGACUCUGUACAUGCAUUUGUUUGUGUCUUCAAAUGUUUUUAUGGGAAGUUUCUGCUUAGUUGCAGAAGUUGCUGAAUCACUUAACACACUAAAUUUUCAUCCGCAGCGGAAAAAAAAAGGAACUUUUACACUACCAAGGUGGGUUAGACAAAAUUUCCAAAAUAAUUAAGCAAUUUUCUAUUCCAAUUUUACCCCUUAAGGAUUUUAUUAGGUAAACAUCUAUCGUUUAACAAUUCCAAAGAUACAUCAUUGGCAUUCACCAAAAUCGAUUGACAUGAAAACAAGUUCACCUAUAUGCCUUUGCUUAUAUCAACUAACUGAGAUCAAUAUUAGUAAUAUUUAUCUUCAUAAAUAGAGAUGUAUUAUCUUAAGAAGUUGAUAUUUGUUUAUCUUUUGACUCAAGUGAUGUAUAUUAAGUGCUACUAGGUUAAUGCUAAAAUUAAUUGUUGUUUGUUUGUCUUAUAUGAGUUCUCUGUAGUAUAAUACUCUCAUGUGGGGAAAAACUAAAUGGAGGAGAAAGUUCUCAAAAUGGAAAAUAGGUAGAUGGAGAACAGUCAACAUAUCAUGAAUCCUCUGUUCCUUGCAGUUGCAUUUUGCAUAUUCUAAUUUAACAUUUGUUGGUGAUUAGGAAAUCCUUCUUUGAGCUUUUCUUUUUGGCAGUAUGAGUUUCUUGACAGUUUGUAUAUACCAAUUUAAAAAUGUGAAAGAACCAACAUUCUUUGACAUAUCCUUUGUGUUCGAUAAUAUUGGUUAAAGAAGAAAGAAAAAAAAUAUGGACAUCACAGGGUGCGAGUUAUGGGUAUAUAAGGACUGAUAAUAGAAAUAAUUGAGAGGUACAUUUUGAUGAUCUGUUGCAUCCUAUAUAUUACUUUAUAAUUUUUAUGUCGAAGUUGUUGGUUCGUGUUAAUACCAUAAUUUGUGGUGGUAUUUCUUAUGGCGUCAAUGACAGUUCUGACUAUACAUAAAUUAAAUCUUUAUCUUAUCAAAAAAUACAAAACUUAAAUUAAUCAUUGUUAUUGUAGAAAUUCUGACAGAGAAGGUUCUUGAAGGUAAUUGAGAGGUAUAUUUUGAUGAUCUAUUGCAUAUUAUAUAUUAUUUAUUUUUGUGUCGAAGUUGUUGGUUAGUGUUAAUACCAACCUGAUUUGCUUAGGUUCAUGAUGUAUUAAUUUUCUAUGUUUUAAGUGAGAAAAACAAAGAAAAGCUAUUCAUGAAGUGAAUGAAGAAUCUAAAGCUCCAUUUCAAGAUCAACAUCCAAGAUAGGGAUUUCAACAACAAAAGAGCACUUGAGCAAUUAAAUAUAGUGAAUUCACACAAAAAAGAUCUGCGAAGAUACCAAAUAAGUGGCUAAUUUGGGAAUGUAUUGACCUAUAUUACCUGUUCUUACAUUUUGUAAAGAAUUCCCCAAAACCGUUGGAAUCUCUAUUUGAAGUGCUGGAACUCUAUUUUAACUAUUAGGGCUCAUUUAAAUUAAUUGUUGUGCUAAAAUACAAUUGUAAGACUCGAUAUUGUACUUGGGGUUACUGUUAACGCAGAGGAUAAGGGUUAAUAGUUUUGGGAUC